UACGUAGGCAGCGAGCGUUGUUCGGAAUUACUGGGCGUAAAGCGUGCGCAGGCGGUUCGUUGUGUCGGCGGUGAAAGCCCCGGGCUUAACCUGGGAAUGGCCGUUGAAACUGGCGAACUGGAGUGUGGCAGAGGGGGGUGGAAUUCCGCGUGUAGCAGUGAAAUGCGUAGAGAUGCGGAGGAACACCGAUGGCGAAGGCAGCCCCCUGGGCUGACACUGACGCUCAGGCACGAAAGCGUGGGGAGCAAACAGG
Molecule: ribosomal RNA, 253 nt
Filed under: uncultured bacterium
Lineage: Bacteria
Description: partial 16S ribosomal RNA
Rfam family: Bacterial small subunit ribosomal RNA
Source: RNAcentral